CUGCUCCAGGGACACGGGGUGCCGGAUGUAGACGUUGCUCUGGAUGUCCCGCGCCGGCAGCCUCUCCAACUCGGUGUGGAAUUCGGCCACGCGGUUCUGGGACAGCAGGAAGAGCAGAUUGAGGCCCAGCAGUUGGUGGCGGAACGCCGACUCCGGCAGCUCCUCCUUGUAGUCGAAGUAGUAGCACUUCAGCUGGGCCAUAUAGCGCUCGAAGGACGGGAUGUCCUUCUUUAGGAUGCUCCACUGCGCCCCGAUCUCCAGGAUGUCCCGGGCCAACACGAGCUGCUGUUUGGUGAGCGCAGUGCCGCCGGUGGGCAGGAAGUUCAGCUCCAGCAGCGCCAGCUUGAGGCGGCCCAACGCCUCCCCGCACUUGCUGAGGUUGGGGCUCUUCCGGCCCCAUUCUCCCUUCAGCUGUUCGUACAUUCCCGCUGCGGCCCGCAGCCCCCCGGCGCCCUCCGCCCCGUUCAGCACCGCCGCCGCCAUCGCCGUGAGUCUGCGCCGCGCCGCUUCGCG
This 513-nucleotide long non-coding RNA is filed under the name Gallus gallus (chicken). Lineage: Eukaryota; Metazoa; Chordata; Aves; Galliformes; Phasianidae. The record is from RNAcentral.